This 205-nucleotide ribosomal RNA is filed under the name Clostridioides difficile. RNAcentral's name for it is "partial 23S ribosomal RNA". It matches the Rfam family "Bacterial large subunit ribosomal RNA", at positions 2598 to 2802 of the family's 2925-position model. The record is from RNAcentral. Lineage: Bacteria; Bacillati; Bacillota; Clostridia; Peptostreptococcales; Peptostreptococcaceae.
ACGCGAGCUGGGUUCAGAACGUCGUGAGACAGUUCGGUCCCUAUCCGUCGCAGGCGUAGGAAAUUUGAGAAGACCUGGCCUUAGUACGAGAGGACCGGGAUGGACGUACCUCUGGUGUACCAGUUGUCCUGCCAAGGGCAUGGCUGGGUAGCUAUGUACGGAAUGGAUAAGCGCUGAAAGCAUCUAAGCGCGAAGCCAACUUCAA